RNAcentral lists this non-coding RNA (48 nucleotides) under Schistosoma margrebowiei. The record is from RNAcentral. Lineage: Eukaryota; Metazoa; Platyhelminthes; Trematoda; Strigeidida; Schistosomatidae.
AUUCAGCUGACGAGUCCUAAAUAGGACGAAACGCGCGUCAAACUAGAU